Molecule: non-coding RNA, 66 nt
Organism: Trichonephila inaurata madagascariensis
Lineage: Eukaryota; Metazoa; Arthropoda; Arachnida; Araneae; Nephilidae
Source: the annotation of a GenBank genome assembly
AUGCACAAUGGAUAGCGCGUUGAACUUCUUUUCUAAAGGUCGUGGGAUCGAAUCCCACCUGUAAUG